GACGAACGCUGGCGGCGUGCUUAACACAUGCAAGUCGAACGCUGAAGCUCAGCUUUUGUUGGGUGGAUGAGUGGCGAACGGGUGAGUAACACGUGAGUAACCUGCCCCCUUCUUUGGGAUAACGCCCGGAAACGGGUGCUAAUACUGGAUAUUCACUGGUCUUCGCAUGGGGGUUGGUGGAAAGGGUUUUUCUGGUGGGGGAUGGGCUCGCGGCCUAUCAGCUUGUUGGUGGGGUGAUGGCCUACCAAGGCUUUGACGGGUAGCCGGCCUGAGAGGGUGACCGGUCACAUUGGGACUGAGAUACGGCCCAGACUCCUACGGGAGGCAGCAGUGGGGAAUAUUGCACAAUGGGCGCAGGCCUGAUGCAGCGACGCCGCGUGAGGGAUGGAGGCCUUCGGGUUGUGAACCUCUUUCGCUCAUGGUCAAGCCGCAACAAUGGUUGUGGUGAGGGUAGUGGGUAAAGAAGCGCCGGCUAACUACGUG
This 483-nucleotide ribosomal RNA is filed under the name uncultured bacterium. RNAcentral describes it as "partial 16S ribosomal RNA". It matches the Rfam family "Bacterial small subunit ribosomal RNA", at positions 28 to 507 of the family's 1533-position model. The record is from RNAcentral.